UGUUAUUAACUUCAGGGGAACAACUGAGUCAAGUGUGGAGGAGAGUGAAGCUGCCACUUCAUGUUCAACUAAAUCAACCUGAGUGGGGCUGAUACUGCUGUCCAUUGGGCCAACAGAUGGGAGUGAAGUUGAGGGUCAGCUCCGGUUAUUUU
This is a long non-coding RNA of Salarias fasciatus (jewelled blenny), 152 nucleotides long. RefSeq lists it as uncharacterized. The transcript has 4 exons. The record is from RefSeq and is a predicted model, not a curated record. NCBI's taxonomy places the organism in Eukaryota, Metazoa, Chordata, Actinopteri, Blenniiformes, Blenniidae.